AUUGAACGCUAGCGGCAUGCCUUACACAUGCAAGUCGAACGGCAGCGGGGGAGCUUGCUCCCGCCGGCGAGUGACGAACGGGUGAGUAAUACAUCGGAACGUACCCAGUAGCGGGGGAUAGCCCGGCGAAAGCCGGAUUAAUACCGCAUACGCCCUACGGGGGAAAGGGGGGGAUCGCAAGACCUCUCACUAUUGGAGCGGCCGAUGGCUGUUUAGUACUAGUUGGUGGGGUAAAGGCAUACCAAGGCGACGAUCAGUAGCUGGUCUGAGAUGACAACCAGCCACGCUGGGACUGAGACACGGACCAGACUCCUACGGGGGGAAGCAGUGGGGAAUUUUGGACAAUGGGCGAAAGUCGGAUCCAGCAAUGCCGCGUGUGCGAAGAAGGCCUUCGGGUUGUAAAGCACUUUUGUCGGGGAAGAAAUCGUUUGGGUUAAUACCCCGAGCAGUUGACGGUACCUGAAGAGUAAGCACCGGCUAACUACGUGCCAGCCGCCGCCGUAA
This 504-nucleotide ribosomal RNA is filed under the name uncultured bacterium. RNAcentral describes it as "partial 16S ribosomal RNA". It matches the Rfam family "Bacterial small subunit ribosomal RNA", at positions 29 to 523 of the family's 1533-position model. The record is from RNAcentral.